GAUGAACGCUGGCGGCGUGCCUAAUACAUGCAAGUCGAGCGAACGGACGAGAAGCUUGCUUCUCUGAUGUUAGCGGCGGACGGGUGAGUAACACGUGUAUAACCUACCUAUAAGACUGGGAUAACUUCGGGAAACCGGAGCUAAUACCGGAUAAUAUUUUGAACCGCAUGGUUCAAAAGUUAAAGACGGUCUUGCUUUCACUUAUAGAUUGAUCCGCGCUGCAUUAGCUAGUUGGUAAGGUAACGGCUUACCAAGGCAACGAUGCAUAGCCGACCUGAGAGGGUGAUCGGACACACUGGAACUGAGACACGGUCCAGACUCCUACGGGAGGAAGCAGUAGGGAAUCUUCCGCAAUGGGCGAAAGCCUGACGGAGCAACGCCGCGUGAGUGAUGAAGGUCUUCGGAUCGUAAAACUCUGUUAUUAGGGAAGAACAUAUGUGUAAGUAACUGUGCACAUCUUGACGGUACCUAAUCAGAAAGCCACGGCUAACUACGUG
This 497-nucleotide ribosomal RNA is filed under the name uncultured bacterium. Its description in RNAcentral is "partial 16S ribosomal RNA". It matches the Rfam family "Bacterial small subunit ribosomal RNA", at positions 28 to 507 of the family's 1533-position model. The record is from RNAcentral.